Molecule: transfer RNA, 87 nt
Filed under: Spirochaetota bacterium
Lineage: Bacteria; Pseudomonadati; Spirochaetota
Description: Spirochaetes bacterium tRNA-Leu
Rfam family: tRNA
About the family: Transfer RNA (tRNA) molecules are approximately 80 nucleotides in length. Their secondary structure includes four short double-helical elements and three loops (D, anti-codon, and T loops).
Source: RNAcentral
GUCGAUGUGGCGGAAUUGGUAUACGCGCAGCGUUGAGGUCGCUGUGGGAGUUAUCCCAUGAGAGUUCAAAUCUCUCCAUCGACACCA